Parus major (Great Tit) is the source of this 1240-nucleotide long non-coding RNA. RefSeq lists it as uncharacterized. The record is from RefSeq and is a predicted model, not a curated record. NCBI's taxonomy places the organism in Eukaryota, Metazoa, Chordata, Aves, Passeriformes, Paridae. The transcript is spliced from 3 exons.
CAGCCAGGAGAGCAGAGGAGCAGUGUGUGUGUGAGCCUGUCCCACCCUGUGCCUGGGCAGGGGCUCAUGCACACUGCAAGGGACACAUCUCCAGGGACAUGUUGAGGUCAGGAGGGACCUUUUUGCCUUUGGAUCCUUAAUGACUGAUAAGGAAUGUGUAGCCUCAUACUGAAGAUCCCUGGGUAAAAUAACACCUCUCAGGAAUGCUGGCAUGGGACAAGGAGAAAUGCCACAACAUUAAUUCUCUGGUGCAAGCUUCUCACUGUGACACUUUUGCUAAGAUGUGGCUGAACACUGGAUCCUGGAGAUGCAUUUGUCAGAGAAAGAAAUAUGAGCAGCAGGUUCUGGAUGAGGAGGUGACAUUAAGGAUGCCCUUUCCAUCACAUGCCAAAGCAGCUGAAAAUCUUCCAUUACCAAACAGGUGAGUGAGGUGGACAGGCUCUGAUGGCAGUGGAAGAAGGGAAAGGCAAAAGGAGCUGGAUAAUGGCAUGGAAGGAGAAGAAAUGAAAACAGCAUUAUGAAAUAAAAUUAGCUUGAUUAAUUGGCUUGUUUCUCUGUUGACUGUACCUGCAAAGAAAGCAGUGAGGCUACACUAUACAUUUGCUUUAAUUUGCACAACUAGCUUUUUUUUCCUCUAAGUGAAUGUUGUGAUUACAUAGAAAACAUCUACAAUCUUUCUUCAUGAAACAAGAAAGACAUCAGAACUUUAAAACCAAAUUGUACAAGGCAUUUUCAAGUGCAGAAAAAGAUUGCAGUAUUGAUACCAGAUGUUUUGUAUUGGUAAUUUCCAUAUUUCUUAUUUACAUUGUAAGAGGGUUCACAAAAUUUGCUUUCAGUUUUCAGAGGAUACACAUUAAGAAUAGUAAAACUUGGGUUUCUUGUGGGUGUUCUACAUGUGUCCCAAUAAUAUAAUAUGGACCUUCAAUAAAGCUGUGCUGUAAUUCCUAGAAGAACAUGUAGGACUAGAAUAAUCUAUCUAAAGAUGGCUUUAGGAAGAACACACCUUGUUUGAAAUGAUUAGUUUAGACUGAAAAUUACAGGAAGCUGUAAGAAUUCUAAAAAUCUCUGCAAAAUAAAACACUCAGUAAGUGUGAUAUGAGUUUAGAAUCCUAAGAAAUAUGAUAAUUUUCCAAGUACAGCUAUUAUAUUUUAAUGUAUCUAUAACUGUGGUUGAUAUUUCAAUAAUAUUAUAUUGUUCAAAAUAUAUUCUCCAAAAUAAAAAUGCUGUUUUUCUCAUUCA